UCCUUCGGGAGNNCAUUAAUGGCGAACGGGUGAGUAACACGUGGGCAAUCUGCCCUUCACUCUGGGACAAGCCCUGGAAACGGGGUCUAAUACCGGAUACGACCUCCGACCGCAUGGUCUGGUGGUGGAAAGCUCCGGCGGUGAAGGAUGAGCCCGCGGCCUAUCAGCUUGUUGGUGGGGUGAUGGCCUACCAAGGCGACGACGGGUAGCCGGCCUGAGAGGGCGACCGGCCACACUGGGACUGAGACACGGCCCAGACUCCUACGGGAGGCAGCAGUGGGGAAUAUUGCACAAUGGGCGAAAGCCUGAUGCAGCGACGCCGCGUGAGGGAUGACGGCCUUCGGGUUGUAAACCUCUUUCAGCAGGGAAGAAGCGAGAGUGACGGUACCUGCAGAAGAAGCGCCGGCUAACUACGUGCCAGCAGCCGCGGUAAUACGUAGGGCGCAAGCGUUGUCCGGAAUUAUUGGGCGUAAAGAGCUCGUAGGCGGCUUGUCACGUCGGAUGUGAAAGCCCGGGGCUUAACCCCGGGUCUGCAUUCGAUACGGGCNNGCUAGANUNNGGUAGGGGAGAUCGGAAUUCCUGGUGUAGCGGUGAACUGCGCAGAUAUCANGANNAANNCCGGUGGCGAAGGCGGAUCUCUGGACCGAUACUGACNCUGAGGACCAAAAGCUUGGGGGAGNNAACAA
This 686-nucleotide ribosomal RNA is filed under the name Streptomyces sp. LK2233.2. RNAcentral describes it as "partial 16S ribosomal RNA". It matches the Rfam family "Bacterial small subunit ribosomal RNA", at positions 76 to 775 of the family's 1533-position model. The record is from RNAcentral. Lineage: Bacteria; Bacillati; Actinomycetota; Actinomycetes; Kitasatosporales; Streptomycetaceae.